Molecule: ribosomal RNA, 497 nt
Filed under: uncultured bacterium
Lineage: Bacteria
Description: partial 16S ribosomal RNA
Rfam family: Bacterial small subunit ribosomal RNA
Source: RNAcentral
GAUGAACGCUGGCGGCGUGCCUAAUACAUGCAAGUCGAGCGAACAGACGAGGAGCUUGCUCCUCUGACGUUAGCGGCGGACGGGUGAGUAACACGUGGAUAACCUACCUAUAAGACUGGGAUAACUUCGGGAAACCGGAGCUAAUACCGGAUAAUAUAUUGAACCGCAUGGUUCAAUAGUGAAAGACGGUUUUGCUGUCACUUAUAGAUGGAUCCGCGCCGCAUUAGCUAGUUGGUAAGGUAACGGCUUACCAAGGCGACGAUGCGUAGCCGACCUGAGAGGGUGAUCGGCCACACUGGAACUGAGACACGGUCCAGACUCCUACGGGAGGCAGCAGUAGGGAAUCUUCCGCAAUGGGCGAAAGCCUGACGGAGCAACGCCGCGUGAGUGAUGAAGGUCUUCGGAUCGUAAAACUCUGGUAUUAGGGAAGAACAAAUGUGUAAGUAACUAUGCACGUCUUGACGGUACCUAAUCAGAAAGCCACGGCUAACUACGUG